Molecule: non-coding RNA, 86 nt
Organism: Piedraia hortae CBS 480.64
Lineage: Eukaryota; Fungi; Ascomycota; Dothideomycetes; Capnodiales; Piedraiaceae
Source: the annotation of a GenBank genome assembly
GGUGGUAUGGUCUAGUGGUAUGACGUCACGUUGUGGCUAUCUUCUCUGCAUCCGUGCCAGCCUCAGUUCGAUUCUGGGUACCGCCA